CCUACGGGUGGCAGCAGUGAGGAAUAUUGGUCAAUGGACGCGAGUCUGAACCAGCCAAGUAGCGUGAAGGAUGACUGCCCUAUGGGUUGUAAACUUCUUUUAUAUGGGAAUAAAAUGUUCCACGUGUGGGAUUUUGUAUGUACCCUAUGAAUAAGGAUCGGCUAACUCCGUGCCAGCAGCCGCGGUAAUACGGAGGAUCCGAGCGUUAUCUGGAUUUAUUGGGUUUAAAGGGAGCGUAGGUGGAUUGUUAAGUCAGUUGUGAAAGUUUGCGGCUCAACCGUAAAAUUGCAGUUGAAACUGGCAGUCUUGAGUACAGUAGAGGUGGGCGGAAUUCGUGGUGUAGCGGUGAAAUGCUUAGAUAUCACGAAGAACUCCGAUUGCGAAGGCAGUUCACUGGACUGCAACUGACACUGAGGCUCGAAAGUGUGGGUAUCAAACAGGAUUAGAUACCCGUGUAGUC
RNAcentral lists this ribosomal RNA (460 nucleotides) under uncultured bacterium. Its description in RNAcentral is "partial 16S ribosomal RNA". It matches the Rfam family "Bacterial small subunit ribosomal RNA", at positions 338 to 795 of the family's 1533-position model. The record is from RNAcentral.